This 1669-nucleotide unclassified non-coding RNA is filed under the name uncultured fungus. Its description in RNAcentral is "sequence contains 18S rRNA gene, ITS1, 5.8S rRNA gene, ITS2, 28S rRNA gene". The stretch from base 530 to 1669 matches the Rfam family "Eukaryotic large subunit ribosomal RNA", at positions 1 to 961 of the family's 3401-position model. Lineage: Eukaryota; Fungi. The record is from RNAcentral.
GGAAGGAUCAUUACCACACCAAAUAAAUUACAUUGUGAAAAUUUUGUUGUCGCGUCUUAGUAUCUUCGGAUACUUUGAUGUAGUAUCUAUCUUUAUAUUUUAUCAAUUUGAAUACUAAAUACUGAAAGUAUAGUGUGUUUAAUUACACAUUAGCUUGUUUAUAUAAUAUAUAACAACUUUCGGCAGUGGAUGUCUAGGCUCGCACAUCGAUGAAGAACGCUGCGAACUGCGAUACGUAAUGCGAAUUGCACAAUUCAGAGAGUCAUCGAAAUUUUGAACGCAUAUUGCACUUUCGGGAUAUUCCUGGAAGUAUGCCUGUAUCAGUGUCUGUAUCCCCUAUAUUUCAAUCUUUAUUGAAUGAAAUGAAUUGUGGAUUUUUACUCUUUUUGAGUAAAAUUCCAUUAAAUGAAGAUUGCGUGUAAUACGAACUCUAUUGCGGUAAUGUCUUUAUUGACUAUUGCAUUGGAUAUUAGUGUUACAAUUUAAACGCAAAGAAAGUGUUACUUGGAAAACGUAACAUCUUCAUUUAUGACCUGAUAUCAAGCAAGAUUACCCGCUGAAUUUAAGCAUAUAACUAAGCGGAGGAAAAGAAACUAACGAGGAUUCCCCUAGUAACGGCGAGUGAAGCGGGAUGAGCUCAAGCUUAAAAUCUUCAUAAUCCCUGAUUAUGACGAAUUGUAGUCUAUUGAAGCUGUUGUCAGUAACGUUUUGUGGGCUAAGUUCCUUGGAAGAGGACAGCAUAGAGGGUGAUACUCCCGUCUUUGCCUGUGAAACGUUUGCAUACGACACGCUUUCUUUGAGUCGAGUUGUUUGGGAAUGCAGCUCAAAGUAGGUGGUAAAUUCCAUCUAAAGCUAAAUAUUGGUGCGAGACCGAUAGCGAACAAGUACCGUGAGGGAAAGAUGAAAAGAACUUUGAAAAGAGAGUUAAAUAGUACCUGAAACUGUUGAAAGGGAAUCGGAUCGUAUCCAGUGUGAUGUUUGUGCAUAUUUCAGUUUUAUGUUGAAAUUUAAUGUGGAACGUUAGUAGUUUAAUCUGCGACGUCUGUAUUGAAUGUAGAUACGAGAUUGCCCUGUGCAUAAACGUAACGUCAAAGUCAGUUUGUAUCUCGUGGGAAAUGGUUUGUGUGGAGGUAUUUCAUUGCUUGCGAUGGAUGUUAUAUCAUGCAAAUUAGUCGUCACGGGUGAGACUGAGGUAAUCACAACCUGCACAAAGGUUAUCUUGCGAUGCUUUAUGAAGUAUUAGAUGGACAGUUUACUGUGCUUUUGAUACUUUGUGAAACGUUGUAGGGUCUCCCUUAGCGGUUCGGGACUUUGACAAAAUGGCGCGAUCCGUCCCGUCUUGAAACACGGACCAAGGAGUCUAACAUGUGUGCAAGUAUUGGGGUGUCAAACCCAAAUGCGUAAUGAAAGUAAAUGCUAUGUAUUUAGCUUAGGUGGGAAUUCUUUGUUUACAGAGAAGGCACCAUCGACCGAUCAUGAACCCAUGUGGUGAAAGAUUUGAGUAUGAGCAUAUAUGUUGGUACCCGAAAGAUGGUGAACUAUGCCUGAAUAGGGUGAAGCCAGGGGAAACUCUGGUGGAAGCUCGAAGCGAUUCUGACGUGCAAAUCGAUCGUCAAAUUUGGGUAUAGGGGCGAAAGACUAAUCGAACCAUCUAGUAGCUGGUUCCCUC